RNAcentral lists this unclassified non-coding RNA (661 nucleotides) under Hevea brasiliensis (rubber tree). The record is from RNAcentral. Lineage: Eukaryota; Viridiplantae; Streptophyta; Magnoliopsida; Malpighiales; Euphorbiaceae.
GGGGGUGUUGGUAGGAGAGAGAGAGAGGGCAAUCACAUAGAAAGCACAUUAUUUCUAGUAACCAUUUUAUCUAUAUAUGUGCAUAUGCUUUUCCUUUUCCCCUUUGGUUUAACUUACAUCCAAACUUUUGAGGUUAACUCAUAUUUACAUGUCAAAACAAGGAUUUACUACUUACAAGCCCCUCCAAACUUUCAUUUCAUUCAUAACAAUUCGGUUCAAAAUCAUGUGUAGCUGAACCAACUUUGAUAAAAUGGCUAAAAUGUCCUUGGAACCUAUUGGGGAUUUUGUUACCCUAAUGGUGUGUUUUUAUUUUCUAAUAAAAAUUGUUGCGAACUUGAAUAAAUUACGUUGCCAAUUUUCUCUCCUGUCUUCACCUGUAGUUUCUCAUUUAAUGUCGUCUUUUUUGUUUUUGUUCUUUUCUUCUGAUUUGAUUUUGCAUUUUUAUUUUGUGUAAAAUGAGAAUUCUAGGUAUUACUUUGUUACUGAUAAUAUUUUGCUUUGAAAUUAUAGCUUAUAUAAUUCUAAAAUUAUCGGUUUCUACAAUUAAGUGCCAACUCCUUUUUUUUUCAACAAAAUCUUGAUGUUUUUAAAAUUAUUCAUUCAUUUCUGUCUAUUAGUUAACACCAAAUUUCAUUUGUCAAUGCAAAAAGUAACCUUUCCC